RNAcentral lists this ribosomal RNA (253 nucleotides) under uncultured bacterium. RNAcentral describes it as "partial 16S ribosomal RNA". It matches the Rfam family "Bacterial small subunit ribosomal RNA", at positions 524 to 776 of the family's 1533-position model. The record is from RNAcentral.
UACGUAGGGCGCAAGCGUUGUCCGGAAUUAUUGGGCGUAAAGAGCUCGUAGGCGGCUUGUCACGUCGGGUGUGAAAGACCGGGGCUUAACUCCGGUUCUGCAUUCGAUACGGGCUAGCUAGAGUGUGGUAGGGGAGAUCGGAAUUCCUGGUGUAGCGGUGAAAUGCGCAGAUAUCAGGAGGAACACCGGUGGCGAAGGCGGAUCUCUGGGCCAUUACUGACGCUGAGGAGCGAAAGCAUGGGGAGCGAACAGG